Long non-coding RNA from Chionomys nivalis (European snow vole), 883 nucleotides. RefSeq lists it as uncharacterized. The record is from RefSeq and is a predicted model, not a curated record. NCBI's taxonomy places the organism in Eukaryota, Metazoa, Chordata, Mammalia, Rodentia, Cricetidae. The transcript is spliced from 5 exons.
GUUGGCUUGGGUGUUUGUCGUUGCAGAAAUACCCAGCUGUCCCCGUGCUCCCAGCGGUCCUACGGUGACUUGUCCGCAAUAUUACACAGCAGAUAAAACCAUCAGGCUAAGUCAAGAGAAAGAACAGUAGAGGCAGGUGCGUGUGUGUCCGUCUGAGCAUGAGACCUGCUGGGACUCCAUCUUUGUGAACAUUCACCGCUGGGGCUCUCAAGUCUGGUGCUGCCUUUGGCCAAGAGACCUGGUCAACACUGUGCAUCAGCCUGACUGUGAUGGGUCCUGCUCCCUGAUGCCUGCGGCUGUGGGUAGGCCGGACCCUCAGUGCUGGGCCCUCUGGGACUGUGGUCAGUGCUUCGUAUGCAAUGCUCUCCACCAAGCUACAGUAUUCUGAACAUCAUGGCUCACUGCAGUCAACUCACCCUGCAGCAGCACCCCAGACCUUUUUGUUCCUCCUUAUUUAUAACUCAGAGCCUCGCGAUGAACAUUUUCCCUCUGUGACGAUCCACUUUAAUUGUCAACCUGACAUCAUCUAUGAUCACCUGGGAAAAGAGUGAUUAAAUUGGCCGGUGGCUGUGGCUGUGAGAGAUUGUCUUCAUUAAGUUAAUCAAUGUGAGAAGACCCAGCCCACUGUGGGCAGCACCAUUCCCUAGGCAGAACAUCCUGAACUAUCUAAGAAUGGAGAAGCUUUCUAAGAAUGAGCUACUUACAAGCAAGUGAUGUAUGCAUUCGUUUCUUUCUUUCGUUGACUGUGAACAUGAUGUUACUAGACGCUUCCAAUUCCUGCCAUUGUGACUUCCCUGGAACCUGGAACCCUGAGCGAAACAAACCCUUUCUCCUCACAUCGGUUUCAUUGGAGUACUUCAUCAGAGUAACAGAAAUGAAACAG